Molecule: non-coding RNA, 138 nt
Organism: Caenorhabditis elegans
Lineage: Eukaryota; Metazoa; Nematoda; Chromadorea; Rhabditida; Rhabditidae
Source: Ensembl
UAAUCAUCAUCUCAUCUGUCAUUGUCUCUAGUUUCUCUCCUGAUCCACUCACUAUUACGCUUGUCAUCCGAGAAUAAAGUGUGCGGGAGAUAGAGACGUAAAGAAAAUAUCUGGUGGUCCGGGAGCAACAGGCAGACA